AUUGAACGCUGGCGGCAGGCCUAACACAUGCAAGUCGAGCGGAUGAAGGGAGCUUGCUCCUGGAUUCAGCGGCGGACGGGUGAGUAAUGCCUAGGAAUCUGCCUGGUAGUGGGGGAUAACGUCCGGAAACGGGCGCUCAUACCGCAUACGUCCUGAGGGAGAAAGUGGGGGAUCUUCGGACCUCACGCUAUCAGAUGAGCCUAGGUCGGAUUAGCUAGUUGGUGGGGUAAAGGCCUACCAAGGCGACGAUCCGUAACUGGUCUGAGAGGAUGAUCAGUCACACUGGAACUGAGACACGGUCCAGACUCCUACGGGAGGCAGCAGUGGGGAAUAUUGGACAAUGGGCGAAAGCCUGAUCCAGCCAUGCCGCGUGUGUGAAGAAGGUCUUCGGAUUGUAAAGCACUUUAAGUUGGGAGGAAGGGCAGUAAGUUAAUACCUUGCUGUUUUGACGUCACCAACAGAAUAAGCACCGGCUAACUUCGUG
Molecule: ribosomal RNA, 484 nt
Filed under: uncultured bacterium
Lineage: Bacteria
Description: partial 16S ribosomal RNA
Rfam family: Bacterial small subunit ribosomal RNA
Source: RNAcentral